GAAUAUCUUGCUGUGCUGUUCACUACUGUGGUUGGUAGGCUUUGCAGCUGGCUAGGACUUUAAUUGCUUUUCUCCCUAGGCAGUUUGAUACUAUAAAAGCUAGUGUUCUAGGAGGUUAGUUCCAGCCUAGUUCAAGUUCUCUGUUUGAUGUAUGUAGUGUCUUCAGCAAUAGAGGCUCACUUCCAAGUUCCAGGAGAAAACCAAAGGCAACAGCAUAGCUUCUAGCUACAUUUUAAAAAGUCUUAACAGUAUCAUGAGAUAUAAACAUAUAGGAUAACAAGUAAACAUAUGUUUGUUUUCUGCCUCUGUAAACAGUACAGAUUAGCAUAUGUAGAUAAAGCCUUAAAUCCAAAAAAAAAAAAAAAAACAGACAAGCACAAUGUUCUAUUGACUAUUACACAUAAUCACAUGCUUGAGUUCUUGCCCUUUCGUUGAUUUCUUCUUGAGAUAUGUGUAUGUGCACGUGGACAUGUGUGUGUGUGUGUAGCAGAGCACUUACUUCUCUAUAGCAAAAAAAAAGCAAUCUAUGUCCUCUUUUUCCUAUCUUUAUACCUGUUCUUACACACACACGUACAAAAUUACGUGUUUGAUUUAUUGAUGUCCUCUUUCUAUUCCUUACUAUUUACCAUGUAAAUUCAUGCUAAGUGUUUAGGAUUAACAUUGAUGUAGCAUCAUGUUUUUAUAUUUUUAACAUUUUUUUCAAUGUCCUUGUUUUAUAGUGAGUCCUUCCACAACUAAUAUAGUCCUAAUAUAUUUUGCCUUCUAUGCCUGAAUAAUUACUAUGGCACUUUUAUAAUUUGCUUAAAUUCAUUGCAAGAUUAAUUGUUUCCACUGCAGAUGUUGAGGAUUAAUCUUCAUUCACAAAGUGCUUAAUUUUAAUAUUUUCAUUAAUUAAUUAUAUUUUAGUUUUUGUAGUUCUUUGUGUGUGGUUGAGGCCUCGUGGGUUUUUCCUAAUCUAGUUUGGCGUGUUCACUGAUAUCAUCCUUGUUCAGCUCACAUUCAAGCAGUCAUGUUGGUGAGGCACAGGAUCUGGUGCUACUAGGAGACACAGUUUCACCAUAAACUCCCUGGUGUUCUGGUUCUUGUAAUCUUUUUGAGCCUCUUCUGCAAUGUUCCCUGAGCCUUGGGUAUAGGACUAUUUUGUAGUUGUAUCCAUUGGCACUGGAUUCCACAGCUCUGCAUGGUGAUUGGCUGUGGUCUUCUGUAGUGGUCUCCUAGAGACGCUUCUUUGAUGAAACAUAAAGACUACAUUUAUCUGGAGGUCUAAGGACAGCUGUUAAUAGAUUGUUGUUUGGGAUUAUGCUAUUUUAGUACAUUGGUGCUUGUAGAUUCUCCAUUCUUUUUUCUUCUUCUUCUUUUUUUUUUAGUAGAUAUUUCCUUUAUUUACAUUUCAAAUGUCAUCCCCUUUCCUAGUUUCCCCUCC
This 1423-nucleotide long non-coding RNA is filed under the name Mus musculus (house mouse). RNAcentral's name for it is "long non-coding RNA chr5:20415480-20416903". The record is from RNAcentral. Lineage: Eukaryota; Metazoa; Chordata; Mammalia; Rodentia; Muridae.